CGAACGGGUGAGUAAUGCGUGACCAACCUGCCCCAUGCUCCAGAAUAGCUCUUGGAAACGGGUGGUAAUGCUGGAUGCUCCAACUUGACGCAUGUCUUGUUGGGAAAGUGUUUAGUGGCAUGGGAUGGGGUCGCGUCCUAUCAGCUUGUAGGCGGGGUAAUGGCCCACCUAGGCUUCGACGGGUAGCCGGCCUGAGAGGGCGGACGGCCACAUUGGGACUGAGACACGGCCCAAACUCCUACGGGAGGCAGCAGUG
RNAcentral lists this ribosomal RNA (256 nucleotides) under uncultured Gardnerella sp. Its description in RNAcentral is "partial 16S ribosomal RNA". It matches the Rfam family "Bacterial small subunit ribosomal RNA", at positions 99 to 356 of the family's 1533-position model. Lineage: Bacteria; Bacillati; Actinomycetota; Actinomycetes; Bifidobacteriales; Bifidobacteriaceae. The record is from RNAcentral.